CUUGAACCCAGAUGGGUGGACGGAGUGCAGUGUUGUUUGUGAGGACAGAAGGCUCAGCUCCCAGGCACUCACUUGACUUCUGGGUCAGGGGAGGGAUUGCUUUCAUAUUAUUUAGGUUUUGGUUUUAUAGUUUUACAACUCACAUUUCUUACUGUAGCAUCACUCGGAGCUUUUAAUACACCAAAAGGCGCUGUGAAGCUUCACAGGGAUAUGCCUUUCUUACACUUGGAUGGUCUCAGAACCUUUUAUUAUUCCCAAAGCAUGGGGACUCAGCGUUCCACAGACAGGCUCUAGAAAACGCUCCUACUGGGACGGGUCACUCCAGAAAUCCAGCUUGUCAGGCAUGCUCCAGGGUCCUCUCAUACGCACCCUGAGGUCUUCUUAUCAGUUAGUUGAGGGUUAACUCAAUUAAUUGGUUAACUGAGGGUUUUGAUGUCACAGGAAAUCAGCAGCUGCCCUGGUCACCCGUGGUCCCAGCUGGAGGGGGAAGCCUCACUCUGCCUCCCAGCCUGCCCUUUGCACCCUGAUGUGGAUCCCAGGUGCCCAGAAUCCCAGUCAGCCCGCAGUGACCGAGGCCCUUCUCAGCACCAGCAUCUUUGGAGAACCUGGCUGCCCAUGGGCUGAGCCCCGCUCUCGGAACCCUUUAAAGGCCAAGUGUGUGCUGAUGAGAUGCCGUGAACCUCUCUGAGUCCCUGCAUGGCUCAGGGAUUCUAUUUCACACCAAAGUCUGUGUCUGUAACGUUUUGAUUUGUGAAUGUGAAACCUGAGGUGGAGGUGAACACUGACGUACCCCAAGGCCCCUCUUGGCUACUUAAUUCAACAGGGCCUGGGAUUCUGGAGAUUCUGAUGCUCCAGUUUACCUGAAAUUUCAAGUGGUUCCCCAGAAGCUGGCCUGAGAUGAGGAGGGAGUGACGGUGACCCAUCGGGCAGGGGAGGGGAAGCAUGAAACAGAGACGGAGGCGGGGGAAGGUGCAGACAGCACGGCCCUGGGCCCGCAGGUGACCGGCUCACGUGCCCGAGGGUGGGGCAGGACCCACCUGCCUGUCGGGAGUGAAGGGCUGUCUCAGAUGGAGGAGCGUCCCAGGUGCUUCCUGCCCUCCAGACACCCGCUGUGUCCUUGACUGUGCUUGGUACCUCGGAGAAGAUAGAAGCCACUGUAUCUCACCAUUCCAUCAGCAGUGGGGUCUGAUCUUUUGACACCCCAAACCAGCCUUUAAGGGUCAUCAUCUCCUAGAGCUGGCUCCCUGGGGUCAUGACGGGGACCAUCAGUGAACCAUCCCAGGCCAUAGUUACUCUGGAAAUGACCACCUUUCAGUAACUGUGCUACUGAUAACAGCAACGACAAGGACAGCAGUGUGUCUGGGACCGGCCUGAUGCCCAGCACGUGCGUUUUCUCUUCCUGGCACACAGCAGUUUUCUAUCCCAGCUCCCUCGGAUCUCGGAAGGUCCUAGUUCACCGCAAGGGAUUUGUGUCUGGGUCUAGACGGUGAAAGCAGAUAUGACGUUCCCUUAGAUACCUUCAGGCUCCCCUGGUGGCUCAGCUGGUAAAGAAUCCACCUGCAAGGCCGAAGACCCCAGUUCGAUUCCUGGGUUGGGAAGAUCCACUGGAGAAGGGAUAGGCUAC
RNAcentral lists this long non-coding RNA (1624 nucleotides) under Bos indicus x Bos taurus (hybrid cattle). RNAcentral's name for it is "lncRNA (ENSBIXG00005026214.1)". The record is from RNAcentral. Lineage: Eukaryota; Metazoa; Chordata; Mammalia; Artiodactyla; Bovidae.